This 729-nucleotide ribosomal RNA is filed under the name uncultured Actinomycetaceae bacterium. RNAcentral describes it as "bacterial SSU rRNA". The stretch from base 1 to 535 matches the Rfam family "Bacterial small subunit ribosomal RNA", at positions 28 to 545 of the family's 1533-position model. The record is from RNAcentral. Lineage: Bacteria; Bacillati; Actinomycetota; Actinomycetes; Actinomycetales; Actinomycetaceae.
GACGAACGCUGGCGGCGUGCCUAAUACAUGCAAGUCGAGCGAAGUUUUUCUGGUGCUUGCACUAGAAAAACUUAGCGGCGAACGGGUGAGUAACACGUAAAGAACCUGCCUCAUAGACUGGGACAACUAUGGGAAACGAUAGCUAAUACCGGAUAACAGCAUUAACUGCAUGGUUGAUGUUUAAAAGUUGGUUUUGCUAACACUAUGAGAUGGCUUUGCGGUGCAUUAGCUAGUUGGUGGGGUAAAGGCCUACCAAGGCGACGAUGCAUAGCCAACCUGAGAGGGUGAUCGGCCACACUGGGACUGAGACACGGCCCAAACUCCUACGGGAGGCAGCAGUAUGGAAUCUUCCGCAAUGGGCGAAAGCCUGACGGAGCAACGCCGCGUGAGUGAAGAAGGAUUUCGGUUCGUAAAGCUCUGUUGUUAGGGAAGAAUGAUUGGGUAUUAACUAUACACAGUGAGACGGUUCUUAACCGUAAAUGCCCGGCUUUUACUGGCCAGCUGCCCUUGUAAUACUUGUGUGUCUUGCUUUGUUGGGAAUUUUGUGGUGUUUGGUGUUUGAGGUGUUUUUAUAAUGGUAUUUGAAAGCCUGCGUCUCAUCGUGUGAGUGUUGUGGAAAUUGUUGAUUUGUGUGGAGUAGAGAAAUUGGAAUUGUAUUUUUGGUGAUUGUUUUUAUGUUUGUUGAUGUGUGUGGUAAAGUGGCUUUUGCCCUGUAGUUGGGGUGUGCUG